Molecule: transfer RNA, 75 nt
Filed under: Eubacterium sp.
Lineage: Bacteria; Bacillati; Bacillota; Clostridia; Eubacteriales; Eubacteriaceae
Also listed under: 2 other names
Description: tRNA-Pro
Rfam family: tRNA
About the family: Transfer RNA (tRNA) molecules are approximately 80 nucleotides in length. Their secondary structure includes four short double-helical elements and three loops (D, anti-codon, and T loops). Further hydrogen bonds mediate the characteristic L-shaped molecular structure. tRNAs have two regions of fundamental functional importance: the anti-codon, which is responsible for specific mRNA codon recognition, and the 3' end, to which the tRNAs corresponding amino acid is attached (by aminoacyl-tRNA synthetases). tRNAs cope with the degeneracy of the genetic code in two manners: having more than one tRNA (with a specific anti-codon) for a particular amino acid; and 'wobble' base-pairing, i.e. permitting non-standard base-pairing at the 3rd anti-codon position.
Source: RNAcentral
CUGGGUGUGGCUCAGCUUGGCUAGAGCACUUGAUUUGGGAUCAAGAGGUCGCAGGUUCAAAUCCUGUCACCCAGA